GCUCACUUCGGCAGCUUAUACUAAACUGGAACGGUACACAGGAGACUGGCAUGGCCCCUGCGCAAGGAUGACACGCGAAUUCUUGAGGCGUUCCUUAUUACC
Phodopus roborovskii (desert hamster) is the source of this 102-nucleotide small nuclear RNA. The record is from RefSeq and is a predicted model, not a curated record. NCBI's taxonomy places the organism in Eukaryota, Metazoa, Chordata, Mammalia, Rodentia, Cricetidae.